CAGCAGCCGCGGUAAUACGUAGGGUGCGAGCGUUAAUCGGAAUUACUGGGCGUAAAGCGGGCGCAGACGGUUACUUAAGCAGGAUGUGAAAUCCCCGGGCUCAACCUGGGAACUGCGUUCUGAACUGGGUAACUAGAGUGUGUCAGAGGGAGGUAGAAUUCCACGUGUAGCAGUGAAAUGCGUAGAGAUGUGGAGGAAUACCGAUGGCGAAGGCAGCCUCCUGGGAUAACACUGACGUUCAUGCCCGAAAGCGUGGGUAGCAAACAGGAUUAGAUACCCCCGUAGUCCCUGUCUCUUAUAC
Molecule: ribosomal RNA, 301 nt
Filed under: uncultured bacterium
Lineage: Bacteria
Description: partial 16S ribosomal RNA
Rfam family: Bacterial small subunit ribosomal RNA
Source: RNAcentral